This 213-nucleotide long non-coding RNA is filed under the name Panax ginseng (ginseng). RNAcentral describes it as "long non-coding RNA (PGIN_LNC000068)". The record is from RNAcentral. Lineage: Eukaryota; Viridiplantae; Streptophyta; Magnoliopsida; Apiales; Araliaceae.
AGAAGAAGAAUAAAGCUAAAAACAAAGUACAAAACUGAAAAAAGCAAAAAGAAGAACAUUACAACGCAUUCAGAGUACAUGAACUUACAGGUAUAAAAUAAUCGGGUGUAAGCUGUAUAAAGAUGUCGACUUGAUAAGAUUACAAGUCUGGUUAAUUUUAUGCAUAAGAUUGGGAUACUGAAAGACGAAUCUUCCCCUAAAGAAAGGACUUUC